RNAcentral lists this ribosomal RNA (868 nucleotides) under Didymosphenia geminata (rock snot). Its description in RNAcentral is "eukaryotic LSU rRNA". The stretch from base 1 to 275 matches the Rfam family "Eukaryotic small subunit ribosomal RNA", at positions 1555 to 1831 of the family's 1831-position model. Lineage: Eukaryota; Bacillariophyta; Bacillariophyceae; Cymbellales; Cymbellaceae. The record is from RNAcentral.
UAAACUUGCAUCGUGAUAGGGAUAGAUUAUUGCAAUUAUUAAUCUUGAACGAGGAAUUCCUAGUAAACGCAGAUCAUCAGUCUGCAUUGAUUACGUCCCUGCCCUUUGUACACACCGCCCGUCGCACCUACCGAUUGAAUGGUCCGGUGAAGGCUCGGGAUUGCAGCUAAUGCCUUUACUGGUGUUGGUUUCAAGAACUUGUCUAAACCUUAUCAUUUAGAGGAAGGUGAAGUCGUAACAAGGUUUCCGUAGGUGAACCUGCGGAAGGAUCAUUACCACACAAUAAUCCAAACCGCGCUUACAUUAAACCCAUAGGCUCUGGCCCUGCUAACUAGUGGUAAACCCCUCUGUAACCCAUCGAGUCUCUCUGGUGUUUACGACCUUAUAAGAUCUCAUUAUGUGCCACUGCCGUGAUGAUGCAACCUGGAGGCCAACGAGUACGAUCCACCAAUUUAAAUUCAAUCGACAGCUUGACGAGAGUCAAGUUUAAAAGUAUAACAUUCCAAUACAACUUUCAGCAAUGGAUGUCUUGGUUCCCAACACAAUGAAGAACACAGCGAAAUGUGAUACGUAAUACGAAUUGCAAGACUUUGUGAAUCAUUGAAUUUUUGAACGCAUAUUGCGCUGCCAGAUUCUUUCUGGGAGCAUACACGACAGAGUAUCAUCAAACCCCAAUCUAUAACAUUAUUUGUUAUGGGCAAGUGAAGUUGGCUUUAAACAAAGCACUCCUUCUAAGUUAUUUAGUGCAGAGGCAUUUUCACAUUGUAGGAAACUCAGUGUAUUUGUUUCAACGUGCUAUUGGUCAAAAUUCACUUUUUGACUGUCUUCUUAACUGAUCUCUGACUGUGUAGGACUACCCGCUGAAUUU